This 446-nucleotide ribosomal RNA is filed under the name uncultured bacterium. RNAcentral describes it as "partial 16S ribosomal RNA". It matches the Rfam family "Bacterial small subunit ribosomal RNA", at positions 329 to 792 of the family's 1533-position model. The record is from RNAcentral.
UCCCAGACUCCUACGGGAGGCAGCAGUGGGGGAUAUUGCACAAUGGGGGAAACCCUGAUGCAGCGACGCCGCGUGAGUGAGGAAGUAUUUCGGUAUGUAAAGCUCUAUCAGCAGGGAAGAAAAUGACGGUACCUGACUAAGAAGCCCCGGCUAACUACGUGCCAGCAGCCGCGGUAAUACGUAGGGGGCAAGCGUUAUCCGGAUUUACUGGGUGUAAAGGGAGCGUAGACGGGAUAACAAGUUGGUUGUGAAACCCCUCGGCUCAACUGAGGAACUGCAACCAAAACUAUUAUUCUUGAGUGCAGGAGAGGAAAGUGGAAUUCCUAGUGUAGCGGUGAAAUGCGUAGAUAUUAGGAAGAACACCGGUGGCGAAGGCGACUUUCUGGACUGUAACUGACGUUGAGGCACGAAAGUGUGGGGAGCAAACAGGAUUAGAUACCCCCGUA